AGAGAGAGACAUGCGCGCAUAUCAAUAAGCGGAGGAAAAGAAACUAACAAGGAUUCCCCUAGUAACGGCGAGUGAAGCGGGAAGAGCUCAAAUUUGAAAUCUUAAAGGGUUUCCCUUUACGAAUUGUAGUUUAAAGAAGUGUUUUCUGUUGAGGUUUUGGUAAAAGUUCUUUGGAAUAGGACAUCAUAGAGGGUGAGAAUCCCGUAUUUGACCUUUACUUUCAACUUUGUGAUACACUUUCAAAGAGUCGGAUUGUUUGGGAAUGCGGUCCAAAAUGGGUGGUAAAUUUCAUCUAAAGCUAAAUAUUGGCGAGAGACCGAUAGCGAACAAGUACCGUGAGGGAAAGAUGAAAAGAACUUUGAAAAGAGAGUUAAACAGUACGUGAAAUUGUCAAAAGGGAAGCGUUUGACACCAGUGUUGUUUUUCUGAAAAUCAAUUAAAGAACUGUUUAUGCUAAGUUGUUUAGACUUUAUCAGCUAACUGUUUAGUUUUGAGCUUUUCUUUAAUGCACUUUUCAGUUAACAAGUCAACAUCAAUUUCUUUUGCUGUAAAAAAGCUUGAGGAAGGUGGCUUGAGAUUCGUCUUAAGUGUUUAUAGCCUCUUGCCUAUGCAGUCGGAGAGAUUGAGGUCUGCAGCGUAGAUCCUUCGGGGCUAAAUGCAUUUGUGCUAAGUUAUAACAUUUUAUAGACAACUUGUUGACUAUGAUUUGUCUUGUAGCUUACUCGCUUAUGUUAUUUUACCUACGCUUAGGAUGUUGACGCAUGAGAUAUACGC
RNAcentral lists this ribosomal RNA (774 nucleotides) under uncultured Neocallimastigales. RNAcentral describes it as "partial large subunit ribosomal RNA". It matches the Rfam family "Eukaryotic large subunit ribosomal RNA", at positions 23 to 646 of the family's 3401-position model. Lineage: Eukaryota; Fungi; Neocallimastigomycota; Neocallimastigomycetes; Neocallimastigales. The record is from RNAcentral.